GUCUCUUAGGCUGUUUUCAUUUCUUUUCAUUCUUUUUUCUUUAUACUGUUCCACAGCAGUGAAUUCCACCAUUCUGUCUUCCAGGUCACUUACCCAUUCUUCUGCCUCAGUUAUUCUGCUAUUGAUUUCUUCUAGUGUAUUUUUCAUUUCACUUAUUGUACUGUUCAUCUCUGUUUGUUUGUUCCUUAAUUCUUCUAGGUCUUUGUUAAAUAUUUCUUGCAUCUUCUCAAUCUUUGCCUCCAUUCUUUUUCCAAGGUCCUGGAUCAUCUUCACUAUCAUUAUUCUGAAUUCUUUUUUGUGUAAGGUUGCCUAUCUCCACUUCAUUUAGUUGUUUUCUUUGGUUUCAUCUUGUUCCUUCAUCUGCUACAUAGCCCUCUGCCUUUUCAUCUUGUCUCUCUAUCUGUGAAUGUGGUUUUUGUUCCACAGGCUGCAGGAUUGUAGUUCUUCUUGCUUCUGCUGUCUGCCCUCUGGUGGAUGAGGCUAUCUAAGAGGCUUGUGCAAGUUUCCUGAUGGGAGGGACUGGUGGUGGGUAGAGCUGCCUGUUGCUAUGGUUGGCAGAGCUCAGUCAUGCUUUAAUCCACUUGUCUGCUGAUGAGUGUGGCUGGGUUCCCUCCCUGUUGGUUGCUUGGCCUGAGGCGACCCAACACUGAAGCCUACCUGGCUCUUUGGUGGGGCUAAUGGCAGACUCUGGGAGGUCUCAUGCCAAGGAGUACUUCCCAGAACUUCUGCUGCCAGCGUCCUUGUCCUCAUGGUGAGCCACAGCCACCCCCCACCUCUGCAGGAGACCCUCCAACACUGGCAGGAUUUAUUGCCUGUGGAGGCCUCUGGAUCACCCCAGCUCAUAUAAACAGGAAACACAAUUCCAAGCAGAGAAGAAAAGGAAGAGAAAGCUGGAGCAAAUAAAUUAGGACACAGAGUCACACGCACAAGAAGAAUGAGAUGUGAAGAUGAAGGCAGAGAUCAGGCAACACCAAGGAUUGCCAGCAAACUACCAGAAGCUAGGAGAGAGCCCUGGAACAGAUCCUUCUUACAGCCCUCAGAGGAAACCAACACUGCUGACACCUUGAUCUCAGACUCCCAGUUUCCAGGACUGUGAGACAAUAAACUUCUGUUAUUUAAGCCAACAAACAAACAAACAAACAAAAACAACUGGAACACAACAUAAGGAGCUACAGCAGAAGCAUCCUUUCUUGAAUAUCCUUACAAGCUAGGGAGCAUUUAGGCAGUAAUUUUACUUUGAAAGAGAAAAAAGAUUGUAAGCAGAGAAGGCUACCUCUUGCUCUCUGACAUUUAACUUGGUCCUCUUUCUUUUUUUCUACCUUCCAUAUGCAGGCCAAAUUCAAACUCAUUAAACUCUCAAUUCAUCAGACUCCUGUGUAGAUUUAAAUAUGGAGUCAGGUAUUGGAUAACACUUGAAGUUUGGUUUUUGUGUUUGUAUUCUUGAUUCACACCCUGGACUGCAAAUUAUCCUUUCUAUCAGGUCAACUCAGAAAUCUAAGUGUUUCUAGAGUGGAUACAAGCAGAGUUGACAAGAAGAAAGCUUCAGAUAAAUAAAACAGAAAAAAAAAUCCAAAUUUCACUGCAUGGAUAUAUAGAUAGGACUCUCACUAGGACUUCCUUCCAUCAGAAGAUAAGCUAAUGGUUGGUUCUCAAGGAAUUCCUCCUGUGUUUGCUGUGGCUGGUCUUACAGUAACUGUUGACCGUCACUGGUUUCAGGUCACAGACAGAAGACAUGGCAUGGUAAAAUCAUCAUCCUCUGAAAAGGAUAUGUUACUUGCUAACACAAACAGAUACCAAUAGCAUUUACUUUGUUUUUAAUCAUCUGAGAUACACUGUAUCUGAGAAAAACAACUUAACUGAUAAUCUUGGUAACAAAGGUAGAUGAAAAGAGCAGAACAAGGGCAAUUAAAGCCCGGGGUCCAACCCUGAGUGCAGAAGGAAUAAGUGAGUUAACCUCAAAUCUCUUAAAGAUCUGUUGGUCAAGCUCUUAACUUAAUAUGUUCAUCAGACCUUUCAUUCAAGCAGGCUUUUUUGAGUUCUGAAAGUUUUAAUAGCUUUUCUUUCAUUGUCUCUAGCAUCAAGUUUUCUUUCUUAUGUGUCA
This is a non-coding RNA of Kogia breviceps (pygmy sperm whale), 2101 nucleotides long. Lineage: Eukaryota; Metazoa; Chordata; Mammalia; Artiodactyla; Physeteridae. The record is from RefSeq and is a predicted model, not a curated record.